RNAcentral lists this ribosomal RNA (254 nucleotides) under uncultured bacterium. RNAcentral's name for it is "partial 16S ribosomal RNA". It matches the Rfam family "Bacterial small subunit ribosomal RNA", at positions 524 to 776 of the family's 1533-position model. The record is from RNAcentral.
UACGUAGGGGGCAAGCGUUGUCCGGAAUCAUUGGGCGUAAAGAGCGCGUAGGCGGUCCAGUAAGUCCGCUCUGAAAGUCCGGGGCUCAACCCCCGGGAGGCGGGCGGAUACUGCUGGGCUAGAGUCCGGAAGAGGCGAGUGGAAUUCCUGGUGUAGCGGUGAAAUGCGCAGAUAUCGGGAAGAACACCCGUGGCGAAGGCGGUUCUCUGGGACGGUACUGACGCUGAGGUGCGAAAGCGUGGGGAGCAAACAGG